UAAUUAGAAUUAAAAACAGAAGAGGCCCC
This 29-nucleotide small RNA is filed under the name Bombyx mori (domestic silkworm). RNAcentral describes it as "ovarian small RNA-19872". The record is from RNAcentral. Lineage: Eukaryota; Metazoa; Arthropoda; Insecta; Lepidoptera; Bombycidae.